UCACAUAUACGAUCUGCUGGGAAUUAGGUGACCCUCUCUGUGGGGGAUUGUCCUUAUUUGGACACUGUAAGUGGAUUAUGUGCUUCUUCAAUUCAGGUACUAAUCGAAGACCUCGAAACUGAGGAUCAGAUAUGUUUAUUUUCAUCAUUCUCUUGGCUCUAGACGUUGAGGGGUAGCAGUGACUGUUAUCAAUGAUCUGCUAGCUUCUUAUCUUCCGAUUUGUGAUCAUCCCGCUUCCGCAAGAUGUUGUAGUAGACACGCUAUGUUAGAUGUCGCCUUUGCUGAAAUCAUUGCGGGGUUGGUACCUUAUAUAGUAAAGACUAGCUAAACGAUCCCCGUCAGGUUCAUGAGGAAGUCAAUCAAAAGAAACGAUCCAGAAGUUUGUUGAAACAUUCUCAAUCAGCUCAUCUUCUGGGAAGAAUUUUCUUUGCCGGGCUUCAGUGAUCUGCUAGCUUUGUUGUCUUUCCUCUGGUGAUCAUCCCAAGAUCUUGGAGCAGUUGACUUGCCCUGCCUCUGCAGAAAUUUGAGGGGAGGCCUGCCCAGUCACUGAUGGACGGGGAUAGAACAAGGAAGAGAGGGGACUAAGUCGCAGUGGAGCCAUUUAUCACUGUUUGCAUUUCGCUAUGGAAUACAGCUCAAAAAGAACCCGAAACUGUCUAUAGUCAAUUAAUUCUGAGAUCAUGGAGAUCGGAACAACCCCUUAUUUGAGCUGGCUGCGUCUCUGCCUGCAAUUAAAGUAUAUAUGUUGCUUGGAGGUGUCAUAUGUCUUACGUUCUCUAUAGAUGUUUCCAAGCCUUGGGAUAAGAGAAGUUAGCAAGGCUUUUCCCACACUGCAACGCAACUAUUUUAUUCAUCAGCAGUGGACCGGUGAAGCUUGCUGCUGCUGUGAGAGAUUCCUGGAUCGUGGAUAGCUUAAAAGAUGGUUAAGUCGGAGCUAGUGAACUGCUGCUUCUGGGAUUAGUGCUGAGGAGAUUUUGACCCAUAUUAGCUCUUUGAAUUGUGUGCAGUUUCAGCAUGUACUUUUUUGAGGAACUUCUAUGGUGUUCAUGUAUGUUUGCCCGAAAUGUUUAUUCUCCAGAUACGAGGAAUCGACAAUGGGGAAAUUAAAAGUUCCUCAUGUGCUUUGAGAAUCUAACUUCGCAGGACAGGGGAGAUGCAUAUGCUGGUAAUAAGUUUGAUUAAUAUGUUGACAUGACAAGAAUUGGAGUUCUACUGCUUCAUUUAGAUUAUCACUUCCAGUAUCGUGCUCUGCCUGCUGUGCCAUGCUAUAUGGCCUUACUCUUCUCGACAGAUUAAAAUGAGCCUUGGUGAUGGCUCUUGGGUCGCCUGAAAAAUUCGAACCAUUGCACGAGUUACAUGUAUCGUAUUACAAAAUUGAGACAUUUAGAAUUCAAAUUGUGUUGCCCAGUGGGUUGUGGAGUCCAUUCAUCUUCAGUAUUCAGAUGAGGUCUUUCUGGAG
Non-coding RNA from Punica granatum (pomegranate), 1459 nucleotides. The record is from RefSeq and is a predicted model, not a curated record. NCBI's taxonomy places the organism in Eukaryota, Viridiplantae, Streptophyta, Magnoliopsida, Myrtales, Lythraceae.